RNAcentral lists this long non-coding RNA (753 nucleotides) under Triticum aestivum (bread wheat). RNAcentral's name for it is "long non-coding RNA (TAES_LNC013185)". The record is from RNAcentral. Lineage: Eukaryota; Viridiplantae; Streptophyta; Magnoliopsida; Poales; Poaceae.
CCAGAUAUUCCCUGCAGAAAAAAAACAGCCCAGCUAUGCAUGUGCAUCAGACCACAAUAAAAACAUGCAUGCUCGACAAACAUAUAAAGAAGCCGGAGAGUAUAUAUUAGAGAUGUGAGAGUAUAUUAGACAGAAUAGUGAUGAAUCAAUCUAUUAGAUGUAGGAAAUGUAUAUUUGUUAGAUUAGGUUCUCUCGUUGAUUAAAUGAUUUAUGGUCAGAUUUUAAUCCUUACACCAUACAAUGGAUCUGGUUGCAUUUAACAAAAGUAUUUAAUGGGAAAAUUGUUAGAAAAAGUUAAAGGUAUGAUACAGAAAAUAAUCUUGGGUACGAAGUUCGCCAACGAGAUAGCACAUAGUCACAUACAUAAACAAAGCGAGGGCCAUCUGAGAACUCAUAGGGCAACUCUGCCACGCGAUGGAAGUUAGGAGUCACCGGCAAACAUGACAAAUAAAUUAGCUCCCGCCUUGAAACAAACCGGCUAAUACGCUCAGGAUCAUCAAGUUGUUUCAAUAUGUGACGUACCUGCAGACAUGAUAAGGAAAUAAGAUUUUAACCAUAAUAAAUAAUGUAAAAGUAUAUGGUCAGAUGCUCGCCAUUUUCUUUUGAAAGAAACUUAGCAUAGCAAUACCAAUGCACUGGCCAACAAGAAUAUGCAUACCACCUUCCAAAAGAAGCUUUGAGAAAAUAGCAUUGGCCCAGUUGCCCUUAUCACUUAAUUAUAUUUACAUCCACAUACCAUGCACUGAACAAAAC